CUGAUAUUCACUUUUAGCGAUGAUUUAGGCUCUAUAAUAAAAGGCUGCGAAGAAGGAGCACAUCGUCUUCUAUCGUGUGUCGGAUUCGAAGACAAGAAGAAGGCAAAGCCAGACAAAAUAAUGUUCGAUCGAUUGCACAAUUGUUGCGAUCUAGGCCUCGACGCAGUACAACUCUGUAAAACCAUCUGUGUUGCGCACCAAACAACUAGUACUAACGCCAACGAUCAAAACAAAUAAGAGGCAGUAUUCGAUGGGUCUUCCUCCGAGACUUCGCUCGUGAACAAUUUACAUUAGCCCUUGCACACAUCUAAAUCCAUAUCGGUCCAACACUUUUAGCCCGUUACCGCUAGACUUCGGUGUUCCUGCAUUCCUUUUUAUUUACACACAAAGCUGUUUCAGUGCUGUUAAACACGCGGAGUGCUGUACGAACGUUUUAAGAGAUAAACAGAUCGAUGCUUAUUGUCUUUGGUCCUAGAAAAACGUGCCCUAACGUUCGAACAUGUUUUCUAGUCAGGCUAAAAGUGUUGGUACAAACGGAAGGUACGUGUCUAAACAUCAUCUAAGAAUCGAACUUCCUAAAUGAAUACGCGUCGCGUUCCUUUUAUUUUUACAUCAGCUACGAAUACUACUCGAAAUUGACAAACAAAUUGUAACGGUCGCGAUCUUCUAAGCUCUCGUCUUCGACAUUAAAUAAGGAGAUUGAGGUAGAAUUUGGUGCACAUGUCAGGUGGUUGCGACGACACAUCAACGUGUUCGUUACCGAAUAUAGUCAGUGCCUUUUAGUUUCAUAUCGUUAUCGAUACUGCGCGAUGGUAGUCACGCGUGGAACCGUGCACGGAGGUUCGACGAUUCAAAGUGACGAUAGUCGAUUGGAUACACGGUAACAAUUUGAAUGAUCAAUGAAAAUAAAGGACCGAGUAGGACCUCGAACAAGAAGAA
Molecule: long non-coding RNA, 939 nt
Organism: Ceratina calcarata
Lineage: Eukaryota; Metazoa; Arthropoda; Insecta; Hymenoptera; Apidae
Exons: 2
Source: RefSeq, a predicted model, not a curated record